UACGUAGGGUGCGAGCGUUAAUCGGAAUUACUGGGCGUAAAGUGUGCGCAGGCGGCCGCGCAAGUCGAGUGUGAAAGCCCCGGGCUUAACUUGGGAAUUGCGCUCGAAACUACGUGGCUGGAGUGUGGCAGAGGAAGGUGGAAUUCCUGGUGUAGCGGUGAAAUGCGCAGAUAUCAGGAGGAACACCGGUGGCGAAGGCGGAUCUCUGGGCCUUGCCUGACGCUGAGGCGCGAAAGCUAGGGGAGCGAACAGG
Molecule: ribosomal RNA, 253 nt
Filed under: uncultured bacterium
Lineage: Bacteria
Description: partial 16S ribosomal RNA
Rfam family: Bacterial small subunit ribosomal RNA
Source: RNAcentral